RNAcentral lists this ribosomal RNA (345 nucleotides) under Triticum aestivum (bread wheat). RNAcentral's name for it is "partial small subunit ribosomal RNA". Lineage: Eukaryota; Viridiplantae; Streptophyta; Magnoliopsida; Poales; Poaceae. The record is from RNAcentral.
AUGUCUAAAUUCUACUGGACAAUGCUUAUUUGGCAAGAUGCUCAUGGGUUAAGUUAUUUGAUGCAUUGCUUUCACUAUCAAAUUGUUUGCUACUUUGAGCAUCUGGCUGCAUACUGUAUUGUUUUAUAUUUGGUGCACUGGACCAAGAGCGCACAGAGGGAGAUCUUCUCUGCCGCGCCGGCGGCAGCAACAGGGAAAAUCCAGUCCACGGUGCCACCAAUGAGAAAGGCUAGAGCUGUGGUGCAAUCAGCAUGUCGAGUAUUUGACGAAAGGGCUCGAUGCCGAGUAUUGCUUCUCCAAUGUAAAAUUAACUCGAGUGUCGUCACUGGUUAUUAUUUUGCUUGA